This 752-nucleotide ribosomal RNA is filed under the name uncultured Bacteroidales bacterium. RNAcentral's name for it is "bacterial SSU rRNA". It matches the Rfam family "Bacterial small subunit ribosomal RNA", at positions 33 to 776 of the family's 1533-position model. Lineage: Bacteria; Pseudomonadati; Bacteroidota; Bacteroidia; Bacteroidales. The record is from RNAcentral.
ACGCUAGCUACAGGCUUAACACAUGCAAGUCGAGGGGCAGCAUGACGAUAGCUUGCUAUUGUUGAUGGCGACCGGCGCACGGGUGAGUAACGCGUAUCCAACCUGCCCUUGUCCAUCGGAUAACCCGUCGAAAGGCGGCCUAACACGAUAUGCAGUUCUCUGCAGGCAUCUAACGAGAACGAAAUGUGAAGGAGAAGGAUGGGGAUGCGUCUGAUUAGCUUGUUGGCGGGGUAACGGCCCACCAAGGCGACGAUCAGUAGGGGUUCUGAGAGGAAGGUCCCCCACAUUGGAACUGAGACACGGUCCAAACUCCUACGGGAGGCAGCAGUGAGGAAUAUUGGUCAAUGGGCGAGAGCCUGAACCAGCCAAGUAGCGUGCAGGAUGACGGCCCUAUGGGUUGUAAACUGCUUUUAUGCGGGGAUAAAGUGAGCCACGUGUGGCUUAUUGCAGGUACCGCAUGAAUAAGGACCGGCUAAUUCCGUGCCAGCAGCCGCGGUAAUACGGAAGGUCCGGGCGUUAUCCGGAUUUAUUGGGUUUAAAGGGAGCGUAGGCCGUCUGGUAAGCGUGUUGUGAAAUGUCGGGGCUCAACCUGGGCAUUGCAGCGCGAACUGUCAGACUUGAGUGCGCGGGAAGUAGGCGGAAUUCGUCGUGUAGCGGUGAAAUGCUUAGAUAUGACGAAGAACUCCGAUUGCGAAGGCAGCCUGCUGUAGCGCAACUGACGCUGAAGCUCGAAAGCGUGGGUAUCGAACAGG